AUAUGACGGUACCGUAAGAAUAAGCACCGGCUAACUACGUGCCAGCAGCCGCGGUAAUACGUAGGGUGCAAGCGUUAAUCGGAAUUACUGGGCGUAAAGCGUGCGCAGGCGGUUAUAUAAGUCAGAUGUGAAAUCCCCGGGCUCAACCUGGGAACUGCAUUUGAGACUGUAUAGCUGGAGUACGGCAGAGGGGGAUGGAAUUCCGCGUGUAGCAGUGAAAUGCGUAGAUAUGCGGAGGAACACCGAUGGCGAAGGCAAUCCCCUGGGCCUGUACUGACGCUCAUGCACGAAAGCGUGGGGAGCAAACAGGAUUAGAUACCCUGGUAGUCCACGCCCU
RNAcentral lists this ribosomal RNA (337 nucleotides) under uncultured beta proteobacterium. RNAcentral describes it as "bacterial SSU rRNA". It matches the Rfam family "Bacterial small subunit ribosomal RNA", at positions 467 to 803 of the family's 1533-position model. Lineage: Bacteria; Pseudomonadati; Pseudomonadota; Betaproteobacteria. The record is from RNAcentral.